CCUACGGGGUGCAGCAGUGAGGAAUAUUGGUCAAUGGGCGCGAGCCUGAACCAGCCAAGUCGCGUGAAGGAUGACUGCCCUACGGGUUGUAAACUUCUUUUAUAAAGGACUAAAGUGAGGCACGUUUGCCUUUUUGUAUGUACUUUAUGAAUAAGGAUCGGCUAACUCCGGGCCAGCAGCCGCGGUAAUACGGGGGAGCCGAGCGUUAUCCGGAUUUAUUGGGUUUAAGGGGAGCUUAGAUGGGUUGUUAAGUCAGUUGUGAAAGUUUGCGGUUAAACCGUAAAAUUGCAAUUGAUACUGGCAGUCUUGAGUACAGGUGCGGUAGGCGGAAUUCGUGGUGUAGCGGUGAAAUGCUUAGAUAUCACGAAGAACUCCGAUUGCGAAGGCAGCUUACGAAACCGCCACUGACAUUGAUGCUCGAAAGUGUGGGUAUCAAACAGGAUUAGAUACCCCAGUAGUC
RNAcentral lists this ribosomal RNA (460 nucleotides) under uncultured bacterium. RNAcentral's name for it is "partial 16S ribosomal RNA". It matches the Rfam family "Bacterial small subunit ribosomal RNA", at positions 338 to 795 of the family's 1533-position model. The record is from RNAcentral.